Molecule: ribosomal RNA, 490 nt
Filed under: uncultured bacterium
Lineage: Bacteria
Description: partial 16S ribosomal RNA
Rfam family: Bacterial small subunit ribosomal RNA
Source: RNAcentral
AGUGAACGCUGGCGGUAGGCCUAACACAUGCAAGUCGAACGGCAGCACAGUAAGAGCUUGCUCUUACGGGUGGCGAGUGGCGGACGGGUGAGGAAUACAUCGGAAUCUACUUUUUCGUGGGGGAUAACGUAGGGAAACUUACGCUAAUACCGCAUACGACCUACGGGUGAAAGCAGGGGAUCUUCGGACCUUGCGCGAUUGAAUGAGCCGAUGUCGGAUUAGCUAGUUGGCGGGGUAAAGGCCCACCAAGGCGACGAUCCGUAGCUGGUCUGAGAGGAUGAUCAGCCACUGUGGCACUGAGACACGGUCCAGACUCCCACGGGACGCAGCUGUGGGGAAUAUUGGACAAUGGGCGCACGUCUGAUACAGCCAUACCGCGUGGGUGAAGAAGGCCUUCGUGUUGUAAAGCCCUUUUGUUGGGAAAGAAAAGCAGCAGGUUACUGCCCCGAUGUUCUGACGGCCCCCAAAGAAUACGCCCCGGCUCUCUUCG